AGCAGCCGCGGUAAUUCCAGCUCCAAUAGCGUAUAUUAAAGUUGUUGCAGUUAAAAAGCUCGUAGUUGAAUUUCGGGAUUGGCGCAUCGGUCGUGCCUCACGGGGUAUGAACUGGUGCAGUCAAUUUCUCACCUUCUGGAGAACCGCGAUGUCCUUAAUUGGAUGCCGCGGGGAACCAGGACCUUUUACUUUGAAAAAAUUAGAGUGUUUAAAGCAGGCAUUUUUGCUUGAAUACAUUAGCAUGGAAUAAUAAAAUAGGACGGCAUGGUUCUAUUUUGUUGGUUUCUAGGACCACCGUAAUGAUUAAUAGGGAUAGUUGGGGGCAUUAGUAUUCAAUUGUCAGAGGUGAAAUUCUUGGAUUUAUUGAAGACUAACUACUGCGAAAGCAUUUGCCAAGGAUGUUUUCAUUAAUCAAGAACGAAAGUUAGGGGAUCGAAGACGAUCAGAUACCGUCGUAGUCUUAACCAUAAACUAUGCCGACUAGGAAUCAGACGAUGUUAAUUUUUUAAUGACUCGUUUG
This 520-nucleotide ribosomal RNA is filed under the name uncultured Entrophospora. RNAcentral describes it as "SSU rRNA". It matches the Rfam family "Eukaryotic small subunit ribosomal RNA", at positions 569 to 1082 of the family's 1831-position model. Lineage: Eukaryota; Fungi; Glomeromycota; Glomeromycetes; Entrophosporales; Entrophosporaceae. The record is from RNAcentral.